UUUUUAUUCAUUUAUUUUAACCAUACUCAGGUCCCACUGCAAUUCAGUUGAAUAAGAAAGAAGGAGAAGCUGUGAACUGUAGGUCUAAGGACUUCUCAAACUUUUUCACGUACAUGGAGUCACCCUGGGCUCUUAUCAAAAUGUAGAUUCUGAUUCAGUAGGUCUGGGGAGCUGCUGCUGCUGCUGGUUCCAAACUACGCUGGAUUAAAAAGAGGCAAAGAAGCAGAAGAUAAGCACAGGGUUGCCUGGGAUGAAGUUUGCUCAGCCAUUAAAAGGUGGGAAAGUCUCCUGCUGCUGUGUAUAUGAGAGAAAGCCACUGUUAACGUCAUGUGUCAGCUACCCAUCAAUUGAGGCAGAGGAAGCAAUUGGUUCAUCAAUGGGUUGGACCAAGAAAAUUUAGAAAAGCAAG
This 409-nucleotide long non-coding RNA is filed under the name Homo sapiens (human). RNAcentral's name for it is "HSALNT0401815". The record is from RNAcentral. Lineage: Eukaryota; Metazoa; Chordata; Mammalia; Primates; Hominidae.